GAUGAGAGGAUUAAGUCUGUAUCAAAUAGAACUUCCCAAGCUACGGUUACUUUCCCCUGUCGUCUGCAUGUCUCAGAGUCAGCCAAGCAAACCGUGGAGGUGAUCCGGGGCGUUUGGAAACAACCACAGGCUGAUAUAGUGAUAUAACUUCACUGUUGCUGCUUGACUGAUCUGUUAGUACCGGGCAUGAAAUGACAGUCAGUGGAUCUUUCUCAAAGCUCCUCUCCCAUGAAAGUCACAAACAAUGACCCGCAUUGUGCAGCAUGAGAGAAACAGGGUGGAGAAGCGGAGGUAAAGGAGGAGGUGGAGAGGAGGACUGCCACGGAUGAGCGGCUACAGACGGUUCAGGAGUAAAAGCACCUGAAUAAAAAAAAACGCUGGCACAUCAGUGUUUAAGAAGCCAAGAAGGCUGGGUACAUGUUCCAUGCCCAUGGGAUGAGAUGAGAGGAAGAAGAGGGAGCCAAAGGAUAGGAUAGGUUUGGAGAAUCGACACAGAGUAAAAAGGAAGCGAGAGAGACGGGAAAUCCCCUGCUCAUCCUUCAUCCUGCGCUCCUUCUCCUUCUCCACAGACCUGGUGGACUCUCUGAGCCGCUCCAGGUCCUGCUGGUACGUCCCCCUCUGGCUCUCCAGCUCCCUCCUCUCCUCCGCCAGGAGCUCCUGCAGCCAAAGAACCAGCAAUUAAGAUUUAUUUUUGGGGGAAAACUGAUAUUUGUAAAAAUGCAUCUUGUGUCUUUCUCUUGUACUUUAAGAAAACAAUGCAACCUCUACAUUGAACUGAGAUACGACUGAUAUAAUGGAGAACAGGGUGACUGUGGAGUGGGGGAUUAAUAAGGGUCGGCAUUUCGUCCAUGUGUCUGUUGGUAAGAUACUUAACCCAAAAUUGCUCCGAAAGGCAUGUCUACGGUAUUAAAGUGUAUGUAAGUUGCUUUGGAUAAGUCGUAAGCACAUGUAAUGUUAUAUGAACUUGCAAAGAAGUGUGAAACGUUUUUGAAACACUUCCUGUUGCUCCAGGGUUUCUAUUUUACAUAUCCAUAACUUACGUAUUUCUGCCUUUUAGUAGCACUAUAGUGUCUGUUGCACUAUAUUGCAUAUUGCACUGUUGGAGGAGCCUGGGACUUCAGAUUUGAAUUGCCAAAACUGUGCUGUAUAAAAGACAAUAAAGCUUUGGAAUUGAAUUAGA
Long non-coding RNA from Trematomus bernacchii (emerald rockcod), 1180 nucleotides. RefSeq lists it as uncharacterized. Lineage: Eukaryota; Metazoa; Chordata; Actinopteri; Perciformes; Nototheniidae. The record is from RefSeq and is a predicted model, not a curated record. The transcript has 2 exons.